This 291-nucleotide small nuclear RNA is filed under the name Piliocolobus tephrosceles (Ugandan red Colobus). RNAcentral describes it as "7SK RNA (ENSPTEG00000016504.1)". It matches the Rfam family "7SK RNA". Rfam says of the family: 7SK was discovered as an abundant small nuclear RNA in the mid-70s but a possible function has only recently been suggested. Two independent studies have found that 7SK RNA binds the CDK9/cyclin T complex (known as elongation factor P-TEFb). The record is from RNAcentral. Lineage: Eukaryota; Metazoa; Chordata; Mammalia; Primates; Cercopithecidae.
AGUUGUAAGGGUGAUCAGGCUGCAACAUCUGUCACCCCAUUGAUUACCAAGGCUUAUUUGGCUGGUCUGGCUGGCUGGAUGGGUAUUCCCUUCCUUCCUCACUGCUCCAUGUGUGUCCCUCCUGAAACUGUGUGGUUGGUAGAAAAAGAUGAUAUUCUCUGAUAGCGGAGGAUUACUCCUCAGACAAGUGUAUAUGAGUAGCUGCUCUUCCCUGCUAGAACCUCCAAAGAAGUUCUCUCUUUCAAAAAAUAUAUAUAUAAAUAUGUGGGUAAAAUAUAUUACCCACAUUAU